Molecule: transfer RNA, 91 nt
Filed under: Chloroflexota bacterium
Lineage: Bacteria; Bacillati; Chloroflexota
Description: Chloroflexi bacterium tRNA-Ser
Rfam family: tRNA
About the family: Transfer RNA (tRNA) molecules are approximately 80 nucleotides in length.
Source: RNAcentral
GGAGGGAUGGCAGAGUGGUUGAUUGCGGCGCUCUUGAAAAGCGUUGUGUCGCUUGACGGCACCGGGGGUUCGAAUCCCUCUCCCUCCGCCU